UGGGGAAUUUUGCACAAUGGGGGAAACCCUGAUGCAGCGACGCCGCGUGAUUUAGAAGGCCUUCGGGUUGUAAAAAUCUUUUCUAUGGGAAGAAAAUGACAGUACCAUAGGAAUAAGGACCGGCUAAUUACGUGCCAGCAGCCGCGGUAAUACGUAAGGUCCGAGCGUUGUCCGGAAUCAUUGGGCGUAAAGGGUACGUAGGCGGGUAAGCAAGUUAGAAGUGAAAUCCUGUAGCUCAACUACAGUAAGCUUUUAAAACUGCUCAUCUUGAGAUAUGGAAGGGAAAGUGGAAUUCCUAGUGUAGCGGUGAAAUGCGCAGAUAUUAGGAGGAAUCCCGGUGGCGAAGGCGACUUUCUGGCCAUAAUCUGACGCUGAGGUACGAAAGCGUGGGUAGCAAACAGG
This 402-nucleotide ribosomal RNA is filed under the name Bacteroidota bacterium. Its description in RNAcentral is "Bacteroidetes bacterium partial 16S ribosomal RNA". It matches the Rfam family "Bacterial small subunit ribosomal RNA", at positions 355 to 776 of the family's 1533-position model. The record is from RNAcentral. Lineage: Bacteria; Pseudomonadati; Bacteroidota.